GCAUUGGUUUGCUAAAUCGACA
This 22-nucleotide non-coding RNA is filed under the name Arabidopsis thaliana (thale cress). The record is from RNAcentral. Lineage: Eukaryota; Viridiplantae; Streptophyta; Magnoliopsida; Brassicales; Brassicaceae.